AGAGAACCAGCACUAAUCCUGUAAACGAUGGACUGGUUGUGGAGAUGCCGGCAUUUGCUGUCCAUUCAUAAUUAUGGUAGAUCCGUGGAGGAGUUUAAUAUACGAUAAGACUCCAGUCACAAAGGCCAGAAGAGGCAAAGAUGGCAUGGUCUCUCUCCUCAGUUGCUAUUGGUGAGCCUGAUGGAUCUUCUCACCAGCCAGGGAUUACGUCACCAUUUCCCGAAUUGGCUCCAGAUGAUUAAAUGAAUUCCGCAGCUUCAUUGUUGGGAUCUGGACUUACAACUCUGGACUCAGUCCACGUUCCUAGCCUGUAGACGUACCGACUGCACCAGCACCCUGCUUCCUC
Long non-coding RNA from Hypanus sabinus (Atlantic stingray), 346 nucleotides. RefSeq lists it as uncharacterized. Lineage: Eukaryota; Metazoa; Chordata; Chondrichthyes; Myliobatiformes; Dasyatidae. The transcript has 3 exons. The record is from RefSeq and is a predicted model, not a curated record.